GACGACGCUGGCGGCGUGGAUUAGGCAUGCAAGUCGAACGGUAUCAUCCUUCGGGGGUGAGAGAGUGGCGAACUGGUGAGUAACACGUAGGUUAUCUACCCUCAAGACGGGGACAACCCAGGGAAACUUGGGCUAAUACCGGAUGUGAGCAACUUUUAGUUGUUUGAAAGGUGGCGUAAGCUGUCGCUUGGGGAUGAGCCUGCGUCCUAUUAGUUAGUUGGUGAGGUAACGGCUCACCUAGGCAAUGAUAGGUAGGCGGCCUUAACGGGUGGUCGCCCACACUGGGAUUGAGAUACGGCCCAGACUCCUACGGGAGGCAGCAGCCGAGAAUAGUCUACAAUGGUCGGAAGACUGAUAGUGCGACGCCGCGUGAACGAUGAAUCCCUUCGGGGUGUAAAGUUCUUUUAUAUGUGAGCAGUGCUUCUUAUAUUAACAGUAUGGGGAGAGAGAUAUUAGCAUAUGAAUAAGCAACGGCUAACUCCGUG
This 485-nucleotide ribosomal RNA is filed under the name uncultured bacterium. Its description in RNAcentral is "bacterial SSU rRNA". It matches the Rfam family "Bacterial small subunit ribosomal RNA", at positions 33 to 507 of the family's 1533-position model. The record is from RNAcentral.